This 261-nucleotide ribosomal RNA is filed under the name uncultured bacterium. RNAcentral's name for it is "partial 16S ribosomal RNA". It matches the Rfam family "Bacterial small subunit ribosomal RNA", at positions 515 to 775 of the family's 1533-position model. The record is from RNAcentral.
UCGCGGUAAGACAGAGGAGGCAAGCGUUGUUCGGAAUCACUGGGCUUAAAGCGCGUGUAGGCGGCUUGGAAAGUGUCGUGUGAAAUCCCAUGGCUCAACCAUGGAACUGCACGGCAAACUAUCUGGCUUGAGGUCGGUAGAGGUGCCUGGAACUCUAGGUGGAGCGGUGAAAUGCGUAGAUAUCUAGAGGAACGCCAGAAGCGAAAGCGGGGCACUGGGCCGAUUCUGACGCUGAGACGCGAAAGCGUGGGGAGCAAACAG